RNAcentral lists this antisense RNA (75 nucleotides) under Streptomyces sp. cf124. RNAcentral describes it as "ASpks TB sRNA". It matches the Rfam family "ASpks TB sRNA". Lineage: Bacteria; Bacillati; Actinomycetota; Actinomycetes; Kitasatosporales; Streptomycetaceae. The record is from RNAcentral.
CUUGACGGAGCCGACCCACAACGGCCGGUCCGCCGGCCGCCCCUGCCCGUACGUCGCCAGCAGAGCCUGGGCCUC